GAUGAAGAACGUAGCGAAAUGCGAUAAGUAAUGUGAAUUGCAGAAUUCAGUGAAUCAUCGAAUCUUUGAACGCACAUUGCGCCCAUUAGUAUUCUAGUGGGCAUGCCUGUUCGAGCGUCAUUAAGUCCACUUAAGCCCUGCUUAGUGUUGGGAGACUGCUCCAGCGGUGCUACCCUGUAGCUACCCUGCAGCUCCUCAAAGACAGCGGCGGAGUUGUGGUAUCCUCUGAGCUUAGUAACUUGUUCUAGCUUUCGAGUACACCACUUCCCCUGCCGUAAAACCCUUAAUUUUUAAUGGUUGACCUCGGAUCAGGUAGGAAUACCGGCUGAACUUAAGCAUAUCAAUAAGCGGAGGA
RNAcentral lists this unclassified non-coding RNA (355 nucleotides) under soil metagenome. RNAcentral describes it as "partial contains 5.8S ribosomal RNA, internal transcribed spacer 2, and large subunit ribosomal RNA". The stretch from base 1 to 120 matches the Rfam family "5.8S ribosomal RNA", at positions 35 to 154 of the family's 154-position model. The record is from RNAcentral.